RNAcentral lists this ribosomal RNA (543 nucleotides) under fungal endophyte. Its description in RNAcentral is "eukaryotic LSU rRNA". It matches the Rfam family "Eukaryotic large subunit ribosomal RNA", at positions 87 to 648 of the family's 3401-position model. Lineage: Eukaryota; Fungi. The record is from RNAcentral.
CGGCGAAGUGAAGCGGCAACAGCUUCAAAUUUUGAAAUCUGGGCCCCCGGGCCCGAGUUGUAAUUUGUAGAGGAUGCUUUUGGUGACGCGCUUACCGAGUCCCCUGGAAUGGGGCGCCACAGAGGGUGAGAGCCCCGUAUGGUUUGCCGCCGAGCCUCUGUAAAGCUCCUUCGACGAGUCGAGUAGUUUGGGAAUGCUGCUCUAAAUGGGAGGUAAAUUUCUUCUAAAGCUAAAUACCGGCCAGAGACCGAUAGCGCACAAGUAGAGUGAUCGAAAGAUGAAAAGCACUUUGAAAAGAGGGUUAAAUAGCACGUGAAAUUGUUGAAAGGGAAGCGCUUGUGACCAGACUCGCGCCGGGCGGAUCAUCCAGCGUUCUCGCUGGUGCACUCCGCCCGGCUCGGGCCAGCAUCGGUUUUCGCCGGGGGACAAAAGCCUCGGGAACGUGGCCCCCUUCGGGGGGUGUUAUAGCCCGUGGCAGAAUACCCCGGCGGGGACCGAGGACCGCGCUUCGGCAAGGAUGCUGGCGUAAUGGUCAUCAGCGAC